RNAcentral lists this long non-coding RNA (330 nucleotides) under Ananas comosus (pineapple). RNAcentral describes it as "long non-coding RNA (ACOM_LNC012011)". The record is from RNAcentral. Lineage: Eukaryota; Viridiplantae; Streptophyta; Magnoliopsida; Poales; Bromeliaceae.
AUGAAACCAAGUUUCACAUAGAAUGUUAAAUGCAAUCAUAGAUCUCUCAAGCACCUCUCUACUACAUAGAGGUCCAAAAUUUCAUCACAUAUAACAUAGGCAUUUUAAGCAUUCUAAAAAUCAUAAUAAAUACAUCUAACAUGAAUAUGCAUACUUUUUCAAUUAACGAUACUCAAAUCUUCACAAAUGAGAUCUUCCCAUUGUGUGGCUAGGUCAAACCCACCGAACCGUCGCGCAGUGCCUCGUUUCGCGGAACGAAGUUGUCCACGAGUCUCAAAGUAUCCUAAAAGUAUUGAGCGAAGAGAUACAAGGGCAUUACGAUCAACUAUA